GAUGAAGAACGUAGUGAAAUGCGAUACGUAAUGUGAAUUGCAGAAUUCAGUGAAUCAUCGAAUCUUUGAACGCAUAUUGCGCUCUCUGGUAUUCCGGAGAGCAUGCUUGUUUGAGUAUCAGUAAGCACCUCAACUUCCAUAUCUUUUUUGAAAUGGGAGUUGGACUUGAGUGAUCCCAACGCUUUUCCUCACCGAAAAGUGGCGGGUUACUUGAAAUGCAGGUGCAGCUGGACUUUUCUCUGAGCUAUAAGCAUAUCUAUUUAGUCUGCCUAAAAAACAGAUUAUUACCUUUGCUGCAGCUAACAUAAAGGAGAUUAGUUCUUGUGCUGACUGAUGCAGGAUUCACAAAGACAGGCUUCGGCCGACUUUGUAAACUCGAUCUCAAAUCAAGUAAGACUACCCGCUGAACUUAAGCAUAUCAAUAAGCGGAGGA
This 433-nucleotide unclassified non-coding RNA is filed under the name soil metagenome. Its description in RNAcentral is "partial contains 5.8S ribosomal RNA, internal transcribed spacer 2, and large subunit ribosomal RNA". The stretch from base 1 to 120 matches the Rfam family "5.8S ribosomal RNA", at positions 35 to 154 of the family's 154-position model. The record is from RNAcentral.